GAUGAACGCUGGCGGCGUGCCUAAUACAUGCAAGUCGAGCGAACAGACGAGAAGCUUGCUCCUCUGAUGUUAGCGGCGGACGGGUGAGUAACACGUGGAUAACCUACCUAUAAGACUGGGAUAACUUCGGGAAACCGGAGCUAAUACCGGAUAAUAUUUUGAACCGCAUGGUUCAAAAGUGAAAGACGGUCUUGCUGUCACUUAUAGAUGGAUCCGCGCUGCAUUAGCUAGUUGGUAAGGUAACGGCUUACCAAGGCAACGAUGCGUAGCCGACCUGAGAGGGUGAUCGGCCACACUGGAACUGAGACACGGUCCAGACUCCUACGGGAGGCAGCAGUAGGGAAUCUUCCGCAAUGGGCGAAAGCCUGACGGAGCAACGCCGCGUGAGUGAUGAAGGUCUUCGGAUCGUAAAACUCUGUUAUUAGGGAAGAACAAAUGUGUAAGUAACUAUGCACGUCUUGACGGUACCUAAUCAGAAAGCCACGGCUAACUACGUG
Molecule: ribosomal RNA, 497 nt
Filed under: uncultured bacterium
Lineage: Bacteria
Description: partial 16S ribosomal RNA
Rfam family: Bacterial small subunit ribosomal RNA
Source: RNAcentral